GCUGUCUCACUCUCAGCAGAGAAUGUGAUUUGAUCAAGUCCACGGUUUCAAGUCUACCAUAAAUCAGACAGAAAAAUAGAAAGAGAGACUGAAAAAAGUGACAGAGAAAUCCAAGACUCACGCAGCCUGGGAUUCUGGGUCCUAUUCAUCUGGGAAAGAAGAGAGUUGUGAAGCUGUCAAGCACAUAGACAGUGAACACAGAGUGGAACAGGUCAAGGCCACAGCUAGGACAGAGGGAGAAAGAGUUUGAUUAGGUGACCACAGUUACAUAUUCCCCAUUGGAGACGAAAAAGGACAGCCAUUUCCUGUGAAAAUAGAAUGGGAUACAAAGAGCUCUUUCAGGGCCUGGGCGGCCCGCUGCAAAAGCUCUUCCAUGCCCCCAACACCAGCCUGCCUGACUCACAGAGACCCAGCCAGAGACUGACACAGGCCCCAGCCCCAGCCCAAACACACAACAUUUCCACAUCCUCCCAGCUUCUUACACUCACUGACACCAACUAUUAAUUCACUGAAGUAAAAAGAAGCUAUUGCUUAUUCAGAACAGAUGAGUAGCAAAGCUACUGAGUUUACAUGACGUAUAAUAUGAAACACA
This is a long non-coding RNA of Carassius auratus (goldfish), 592 nucleotides long. RefSeq lists it as uncharacterized. The record is from RefSeq and is a predicted model, not a curated record. The transcript is spliced from 3 exons. Lineage: Eukaryota; Metazoa; Chordata; Actinopteri; Cypriniformes; Cyprinidae.